Molecule: non-coding RNA, 390 nt
Organism: Podarcis lilfordi (Lilford's wall lizard)
Lineage: Eukaryota; Metazoa; Chordata; Lepidosauria; Squamata; Lacertidae
Source: the annotation of a GenBank genome assembly
AGGGGUGUGGCUCAGUGGUAGAGCACCUGCACUGCAUGCAAAAAGGUCUCCGGUUCACUGUCCCUAGUGACUACAGAUAGAAUCAUAGAAUUGUAAAGCUGGAAGGGAACCCCGAGGGUCAUCUAGACCAACCCCAGACAAUGCAGAAAUCUCAACUAAAUCAUGCAUAACAGAUGCCCUCCAACCUCUGCUUUAAAACCUCCAGCACUUCUCAUGAGAGUCGAACUGCUCUCAUCUCUAGGGAGCCUGUCAUAAAACAAUCCUGAAGUAGACAGAACAGGGGUCUGACUCAGGAUAAACCAGCUCCAUCUGUAUGACGGAGCCACCGAUCUGUGGCAGAAGAGCUGCUCUGCGCACAGAAGGUACCGGGUUCAAUUCCCGCCAUUUCCA